RNAcentral lists this long non-coding RNA (1514 nucleotides) under Bactrocera tryoni. Its description in RNAcentral is "uncharacterized LOC120780207, transcript variant X1". The record is from RNAcentral. Lineage: Eukaryota; Metazoa; Arthropoda; Insecta; Diptera; Tephritidae.
UCACUAUCAGCUGAUUUUAUGUAAACAAAGGCACAGCUGAGAGGUGCCACUGUAGAAACGUCAAGUGUAGUCCGAGGUUGAGUUUCUAUUUGAAUCCAAGAUGGCCGACUUUUAACAAAGAUGGCCGACUUUUCACCGGAAAAUGGUUGCAUUGUGUUAUUUUCUUAAAAUUUAUGGAAAAGUUGUCCCAAAAAUAUUGGUUAUAUAUAAAAGUUUAAUAUAUUUUCAAAAGAAAAUCGUUUUAUUUUAAUAUAUAUUCUUAAAGAUGAGAACAAUAUGAGCUAAUACAUGAAAAAUUAAGUUUUUUAUUUAUGCCUCUUUUUAACUGUGGUAAGUUAAUAAAUGUUCACCACAGAAAAAUGUUACGAACAAAUAAGCAACCAUGCCGAAUAGUGGGGUCCAGAUUAUACUCAUUCACAGCCAUAUUUACAUUUUUGCCAUCGUAACGAAGGUUUUCGCAAGGAAAUUUGUUUGAGUUUAUUUCAUGGUUAAAUGCUUUACGGUGGUUUAUUUAGUUAUUUGAAUCUGGAAGAAGUGUGCAAAUUUCCCUUGAGACGGUAAAUAACAGAUCGGGUUGGGAUUUUAUUCCAAUAAAAGUACGGAAUAACUAAACAUGGCCUCGUUAAUACUGCUGCGUAAUGGGUCAGGUGCUGUUCCAAUUUUAUGGUUUAAGAGAUGUAAAAGCGAUAUGCGAUGCUGUGAAGUACUCAAAUGUAUUUACGAACUUAGUUGGUCGUGAAUUCGAAACAAAAUUUUAAAUUCAAUGACGUGCUUGUGGAAGGUGCACGUCGCAUUGCUAGAAUCAGCAAAGAAGCUGAUGUAGAACGUUUGAUUAUUUGUCUGCUUUAAACGCUAGUCCCAAACCAAUGAGCUUUGUGUUUGAGGGUGGAAGUAACUUUUUGAAGAGCAAAUACUCCGGUGAGCACAUUCGGAUGUUAUACAAGCUAUUGUCAAUUGCGUUUAGGAUCCCGAUACUGCUGGUCAGGUUUAUCAAGCUGUUGGACCAAAGCGUUACCAGUUGAGCGAAUUAAUUGGCUGGUUUCAUCGUGUUAUGCACAAAAAUCCUAUCCUACCUUCUUAUUGAAAGCCAAGUUCACUGAGCUUAUCUGUCCUGGACAACCUAUUGGUGAGCUACAUAUGGAACGUAUCGAUCGCGAAUGUAUUACCGAUGCCGUUCCCUCGGAAAUACCGUGGUUGAAGAAUUUGGGUGUACAAUUGACCUCCAUGGAAGAGCAAGUACCAUGGGAAUUGUGACCAUAUCGUGCUGCGCAAUAUUAUGAUGCCGAAUUGGGAGAGUGGGGGAACCAGCUCCACCAAAACCGAUAGAACACCGGGAAGAACUACGCAAAUUAUAAACAACACUCAUCAAAUGAAAGUUGGCAGCGUUGGUGACUAAGCAGCGAUUUGUAAAAGAAACAUUUGCAUCUACGCGAAUUACAAUUCGUCUUUACAUCUAGUGAAUUAUGGUCGAUUAUGAAUGGUGUGGAAGUUGAUAUUUAAACUUAAAAAAAAAA